UACAGAGGUGGCAAGCGUUGUUCGGAAUUACUGGGCGUAAAGGGCGCGUAGGCGGCCUUGUCAGUCAGACGUGAAAUCCCCGGGCCCAACCCGGGAACUGCGUCCGAUACUGGGAGGCUUGAAUCCGGGAGAGGGAUGUGGAAUUCCAGGUGUAGCGGUGAAAUGCGUAGAUAUCUGGAGGAACACCGGUGGCGAAGGCGGCAUCCUGGACCGGUAUUGACGCUGAGGCGCGAAAGCCAGGGGAGCAAACGGG
This 253-nucleotide ribosomal RNA is filed under the name uncultured prokaryote. RNAcentral describes it as "partial 16S ribosomal RNA". It matches the Rfam family "Bacterial small subunit ribosomal RNA", at positions 524 to 776 of the family's 1533-position model. The record is from RNAcentral.